Molecule: ribosomal RNA, 253 nt
Filed under: uncultured bacterium
Lineage: Bacteria
Description: partial 16S ribosomal RNA
Rfam family: Bacterial small subunit ribosomal RNA
Source: RNAcentral
UACGUAGGGCGCAAGCGUUGUCCGGAAUUAUUGGGCGUAAAGAGCUCGUAGGCGGCCUGUCGCGUCUGCUGUGAAAUCCCGGGGCUCAACCCCGGGCCUGCAGUGGAUACGGGCUGGCUGGAGGCAGGCAGGGGAGAACGGAAUUCCUGGUGUAGCGGUGAAAUGCGCAGAUAUCAGGAGGAACACCGGUGGCGAAGGCGGCGUUCUGGACUGCAACUGACACUGAUGAACGAAAGCCAGGGGAGCAAACGGG